GACGAACGCUGGCGGCGUGCUUAACACAUGCAAGUCGAACGGUGAAGCGAGUGCUUGCACUCGUGGAUCAGUGGCGAACGGGUGAGUAACACGUGAGUAACCUGCCCAUCACUCUGGGAUAAGCACUGGAAACGGUGUCUAAUACUGGAUACGACCAACCCUUGCAUGGGGUGUUGGUGGAAAGAUUUAUCGGUGAUGGAUGGACUCGCGGCCUAUCAGCUUGUUGGCGGGGUAAUGGCCCACCAACUGGACGACGGGUAGCCGGCCUGAGAGGGUGGCCGCCGACACUGGGACUGAGACACGGCGCAGACUCCUACGGGAGGCAGUAGUGGGGAAUAUUGCACAAUGGGCGAAAGCCUGAUGCAGAGACGCCGCGUGAGGGAUGACGGCCUUCGGGCUGUAAACCUUUUUCAGCAGGGAAGAAGCGAAAGUGACGGUACCUGAAGAAGAAGCACCGGCUAACUACGUG
This 469-nucleotide ribosomal RNA is filed under the name uncultured bacterium. RNAcentral's name for it is "partial 16S ribosomal RNA". It matches the Rfam family "Bacterial small subunit ribosomal RNA", at positions 28 to 507 of the family's 1533-position model. The record is from RNAcentral.